RNAcentral lists this ribosomal RNA (253 nucleotides) under uncultured bacterium. RNAcentral describes it as "partial 16S ribosomal RNA". It matches the Rfam family "Bacterial small subunit ribosomal RNA", at positions 524 to 776 of the family's 1533-position model. The record is from RNAcentral.
UACGGAAGGGGCAGGCGUUGUUCGGAAUCAUUGGGCGUAAAGGGCGCGUAGGUGGUUCUGUAUGUCUACCGUGAAAGCAUACAGCUCAACUGUAUUUUGUCGGUAGAAACUGCAGGACUUGAGGCUGGGAGGGGCUGGUGGAAUUCCCUGUGUAGCGGUGAAAUGCGUAGAGAUGGGGGAGAACACUCGUGGCGAAGGCGGCCAGCUAGACCAGUUCUGACACUGAGGCGCGACAGCGUGGGGAGCAAACAGG